RNAcentral lists this unclassified non-coding RNA (315 nucleotides) under Hevea brasiliensis (rubber tree). The record is from RNAcentral. Lineage: Eukaryota; Viridiplantae; Streptophyta; Magnoliopsida; Malpighiales; Euphorbiaceae.
AUUGAUGAAUCAGGUUUCCUGCAGUCCCCGGAAAAUGUGGGCCAAGUAAACCCACCAACUAGAACCUUUGUUAAGGUUUACAAGUCAGGGUCCUUCGGUAGGUCACUAGACAUUACCAAAUUCAGCAGUUACAAUGAAUUGCGGAGUGAGCUUGCUCAUAUGUUUGGCCUUGAAGGCCAGCUGGAGGACCCUCUGAGAUCAGGCUGGCAGCUUGUAUUUGUUGACCGUGAGAAUGAUGUUCUGCUCCUUGGUGAUGACCCCUGGCCGGAAUUUGUAAACAGUGUGUGGUGCAUCAAAAUACUCUCACCACAAGAA